UAGCCUAGUGGCUAAGGCUAUGGAUCGCCAAUCCGAAGAAGGCGGGUUCGAUUCCCGU
Non-coding RNA from Aedes albopictus (Asian tiger mosquito), 58 nucleotides. NCBI's taxonomy places the organism in Eukaryota, Metazoa, Arthropoda, Insecta, Diptera, Culicidae. The record is from Rfam.